This 499-nucleotide small RNA is filed under the name Pan troglodytes (chimpanzee). RNAcentral describes it as "processed transcript". The record is from RNAcentral. Lineage: Eukaryota; Metazoa; Chordata; Mammalia; Primates; Hominidae.
UACUCAGCUGACAGGAAUCUGGUUGGAGUUGUUGUGUCCCAGCCUUCCCAAGCUUCCAGGUGUCCCAGAAACCCAGGAAAUCGAGACUCAUGACUCCCAGAGAGGAUGGCAUCUAGAAGACGAUCAAGAGUGGAAUCUACAGUCCAUGGGCCCUGACUUCUUGCCUUCCUCUCAAAUAGACUCUGCAGCCAGCCAUCUAUGCAGCGCCCCAGUGGCUUUGAAAUGCAACAGAAACCAUCACCCCUGGACCAUGGGCUCCAUGCCAGUGGGCAAAGCACAGCCUGGGAAGAAUUGGUUUGCAGCCAGGCAGUCCUGCAUCCAGUCUUGACUUUGGCACUUGUGAUAUGACUUGCACAGGUCCCGCUCCGGGCCCUCCUCCCAGAAGCCUCCCCUGACUAGUCCAGCUCACCGUGACUCUUCUGAACUCACGGCGUUUACUGCCAAGGCUAUUACGUUGGCGCUCGCUCAUGUCAUUAUUAGGAAAUAUGCAUUUUUACUG